UAACGUGGAUUUGGACGAUAAUAGGUUUUUAGUUUGUGAUGUUUCAUGUGAUGAUCAUUUUUAUGUUCAUCGUCUUUGAAUUGACAUGAGGAUAUCUAUGAAAAAGUAACUAAUCUGAAAGUAAGCCAACAUAUCGUUUGUUCUUUGUGUGCUAACGAAAAGAUUUUCUUUUCGCAUCAUGAGGAAGUAUUACAUCAAUUAAAAAAUGUUAGGAAGUUGAUUACUUGUCAUGGAAAAGUAUACCAAUGGAAAUUGCUUGUAAUAGAAGUAACUCUAAGGGUUUAGAGAAUAAAUUGGUUGAACGCAAAAUCUGGAGGAAGUACCUUUUUCCAUACACAGAAUAUGCCCAUCAAGAAUACUAGUCCAAAUUUGCUUUAAUGGUAGACAAUUAUUCAAUACAAAUUAACUUUUUAAGUGACUUAAAUAUUAAAUAGUUUAGAAUAUGGUAUAACAAUGU
This 457-nucleotide long non-coding RNA is filed under the name Sitophilus oryzae (rice weevil). Its description in RNAcentral is "uncharacterized LOC115886332". The record is from RNAcentral. Lineage: Eukaryota; Metazoa; Arthropoda; Insecta; Coleoptera; Curculionidae.